CCCAAGCGUUACUGCUCCAUCCCCUGUCUGUAUCCUCUAGUUCUUGGAUCAUGGAAGUAUGUUAUUUAUAAACCAUCACAAUUCCCCAUCCGGUACAUAUUUUGGUUAGAGGGAGGAGGGAGUCGAGUAAAACAGAUGUCUCCUUUUCCUUGACUUGAUGUAAGAUGAUGCUGUACUUGCAUCAUAUUUCCCAUGGAUUUUUCUAGAAUUCUUC
Non-coding RNA from Pelobates cultripes (western spadefoot toad), 214 nucleotides. The record is from the annotation of a GenBank genome assembly. NCBI's taxonomy places the organism in Eukaryota, Metazoa, Chordata, Amphibia, Anura, Pelobatidae.